GGAUUCCCCUAGUAACGGCGAGUGAAGAGGGAAGAGCCCAAGAUUGAAAGCUGGCGCCUUCGGCGUCCGCAUUGUAAUCUAAAGAAGUGUUUUCCGCUUCGGACCAUGCCUAAGUCCCUUGGAAAAGGGCAUCAUAGAGGGUGAUAAUCCCGUACAUGGCAUGGAGCGCCCGAAGCUUUGUGAUACGCUUUCUAAGAGUCGAGUUGUUUGGGAAUGCAGCUCAAAAUGGGUGGUAAAUGCCAUCUAAGGCUAAAUAUUGGGGAGAGACCGAUAGCGAACAAGUACAGUGAUGGAAAGAUGAAAAGAACUUUGAAAAGAGAGUUAAACAGUACGUGAAAUUGCCAAAAGGGAAGGGUAGGAGGUCAGAGAUGCGUCGCAGGAUUCAGCCUUGCUUUUGCUUGGUGUUUUUCCUGCGUUGCAGGCCAACGUCGGUUUUGGGCACUGGAGAAGGGUAGGAGGAACGUGGCACCUCUCGGGGUGUGUUAUAGCCUCCUACUGGAUACAGCGACCGAGACCGAGGAACGCAGCGUACUCGUAAGAGCGGGCCUUUUGGCACCUUUACGCUUAGGGCGUUGGCAUAAUGGCCCUCUACCACCCGUCUUG
RNAcentral lists this ribosomal RNA (603 nucleotides) under Pseudozyma hubeiensis. Its description in RNAcentral is "LSU rRNA". It matches the Rfam family "Eukaryotic large subunit ribosomal RNA", at positions 72 to 656 of the family's 3401-position model. Lineage: Eukaryota; Fungi; Basidiomycota; Ustilaginomycetes; Ustilaginales; Ustilaginaceae. The record is from RNAcentral.